This 326-nucleotide ribosomal RNA is filed under the name uncultured eukaryote. Its description in RNAcentral is "partial 18S ribosomal RNA". It matches the Rfam family "Eukaryotic small subunit ribosomal RNA", at positions 1470 to 1796 of the family's 1831-position model. The record is from RNAcentral.
CCCUUAGAUGUUCUGGGCCGCACGCGCGCUACACUGAUGCAUUCAACGAGUCCAACCUUGACCGAGAGGUCCGGGUAAUCUUUGAAACUGCAUCGUGAUGGGGCUAGAUUAUUGCAAUUAUUAAUCUUCAACGAGGAAUGCCUAGUAAGCGUGAUUCAUCAAAUCGCGUUGAUUACGUCCCUGCCCUUUGUACACACCGCCCGUCGCUCCUACCGAUUGAGUGUGUUGGUGAGGAGUUUGGAUUGGCCUCGGAAGGUGGUUCCCCACCGUCCGUAGCUGAGAAGUUCUCCAAACCGCCCCACUUAGAGGAAGGAGAAGUCGUAACA